Molecule: non-coding RNA, 1605 nt
Organism: Odocoileus virginianus texanus
Lineage: Eukaryota; Metazoa; Chordata; Mammalia; Artiodactyla; Cervidae
Source: the annotation of a RefSeq genome assembly
UGGGUCUCCCUAUUGUGAUCAGUUCACUUAGGUUCAUUUCUACUUUGAGCCUCUGGGGGAAGGGGCGUGGCCCCCUGUGUGACAGGUUGGCUCUGGGGCCAGGCAGGGACAGUGACAUCUCAGAAGGACUCCCUGGAGAGCCCCUCUCCCCUCUCAUCCACACUCAGACCAGAGGGCCCUACGCCUGCCCCGCCCCCGCCAUGAGCCCCUGCCUCCUGGGCUGUGUGGUCUUCUGUCUCCUGCAGGCAGGGGCGGUCCACGCUGGUGUCACCCAGGACCCCAGAUUCCAGGUCGUGACAACAGGACAGAGCGCCACACUGAAAUGUACUCAGGAUCUGGGUCAUGACCGCAUGUACUGGUACCGACAAGACCCGGGACUGGCGCUGAGGCUGAUCCAUUACUCAGCUGGGACUCCAUACACGGAGAAAGGAGAUGUGCCUGACGGGUACAGCGUCUCCAGACCAAGCACAGAGAACUUCCCUCUCACGCUGAAGUCUGCCAACCGCUCCCAGACAUCUGUGUACUUCUGCGCCAGCAGUGACUCCACGGCGCUGCACAGCCACCUCCUCUCUGUGCAAAAAGACAGAAGAGGGCCUUGCAGCUGGAACGUGGGGAGCCCCUUGCAGACUCCUAGCACCUGGAGACUCAGAGCCCACAGACACAUACUGGCAGCAUAGCCUGCAGUUUUGAUCUUGGCUGGCACAGACCUGACAACAGGGCCUCAUGGACAUGUGUCCACUUUCAUGCUCUGUCUUUUCAGCGUAGCUGCCAGGUGAACCUAACAUGCUUCCAGCUCUGACUCCUAGUAUCAGUCUGAACAGGAGGCCUCCAGGAGGGAAGGGUGUUGGGAAAUCAGAUACAUCUAGACCCUCUUGUCUCUCCCCGGGCACCACAUGCCUGUCGCUGUGGAAGGUCCUCCCCCAGGCUGGCCCUUGUCUGGUCUCUGCUCUUGUCCAGCUUCCGCAGAUGUGGGGUCUUUCCUCUCUCACCUAAGGGCCCUCGUUCUGACCCUUCUCUACUUCAGCCUAGCUGCCCCUCCCUCAUCUGGGUCAUGUUCUUGCCCGUCACCCAGGGAACCUCGUAAUGAUCCUGACGUGGUCCUGUUUGAGCAGGCUCCCUCGGCCCUCAGAGAGAACACCCCUACAGUCAGUGAUGAGUCACCCGUGAUCCCUCUGUGGCCCCUCAGCAGAGGGAGGGAUGAGCAGUGAGUGUGUCUCCACCACGGCCUGUCUGUAGCAUCGACAUAGCCUGGACCCUGAUGCUGGGAAAGACUGAGAGCAGAAGGAGAAGGGGGUGGCAGAGAAAGAGGUGGUUAGAGAGCAUCACCGACUCAACAGGCAUGAAUUUGAGCAAACUCUGGAGACAGUGAAGAACAGGGGAGCUUGGUGCGCUGUGAUGCAAGGGGUCUCAAAGAGAUGGACUCGAGUUAGCAAUUAAACACCACCACAACCAAUAAAAACUAACCCAAGUUUGCAGCAAUUCCCUCAUCACAAUCUUCUAAAAGUCAAAGUAUUAAAUAUUUCCUGCAUGAACACAUUUCUUUUCUCGUGAAAUAAAAAUCAUAAAUCAGCUAAGGCAGGCUUGUUUGUGAGAUUGUGUUUCUAA